GACGAACGCUGGCGGCGUGCUUAACACAUGCAAGUCGAGCGGUAAGGCCCUUUCGGGGUACGACGAGCGGCGAACGGGUGGAGUAACACGUGGGUGGACCUCGCCCUCCAGCUCUGGGAGUAAGACCCGGGAAACCGUAGGGUCGUAAUACUGGAUAUGACUCCAUGACGCAUGUUGUGGGGUGGAAAGACCUUGUGCGGCUGAGGAUGGGCCCGG
Molecule: ribosomal RNA, 216 nt
Filed under: uncultured bacterium
Lineage: Bacteria
Description: partial 16S ribosomal RNA
Rfam family: Bacterial small subunit ribosomal RNA
Source: RNAcentral